UUUCAACUUCACUUUCUAUUUUAAGAAGCAACGUUCAUCCUUGGAGGAGUGCAAAAUGCUGCUAUCAAUUCUUAUACACUUUGAGUAAGCAAAUUAAUAGAAGUUGCUCACGGUUGUAGCUCAUUUGGAGCUCACGGCUAAGCACCAUUUUUUUGUGAAAGAAAAAUUAUAAUUUCCAGCAAGAAUUUUAAAAGGUCAAGCUUGCUAGCAAGGUUUUCCUUCCAGUUGUUGAGCAUUCACCUUGGAUGGAGCUAAGAACGACCAUGGAUAAAUAUUUUUGAGCUCUUGGCCAGUUUGCUUUUGGGAGACAAUUCAAGUAAAAUUUUGACAAGAAUUUGAAGAACAUCCCUAGAUAUGCAAGUUAAGGUACAGAUAGUCGGUUUGGCGAUCCUUCAGCAUAGGAGUUUCACUCAACUGUCUUUGAGAGCUCCGUUGUUCCGGAGUCUAGACUUUUGGUACAGAUCCUAUAAUAUGUAUGUAUACGUUUAUCUAGGGGUACGGCGGGGCCCUGUCCCGUCAUAUUUCGCUAUUGAUACUCUUAGAGGUCUGUAGAUAUAUGUGUGGGUUGUGUAUAAGUUUUGUUCAGCUGUGUCUAUAUGAUGUGCUAUGGAUAUAUUCGUCUGUAAUGGCAGCCUUGUCGGCUUGCGUACCAUAUUAUGUUUUGAUUAGUGGUGACUCCUCGGGAGACAGUUUAUCUGAAUAUACAUAUAUGGCGACGUUAUGAACCGUUGGAGUUCUUCUGCAAGUUUCCAUACUACUCAUAGAUUCAGUUUGAUUAUAUGGAACAGGUUCGUAUACGGGUGCCCAGUUCGAGCACUAGUCAUGGCCCACGGGGUUGGGUCGUGACAAAAGUGGUAUCAGAGCAGUUCGUCCUUGGAGUGUCUACAGACCGUGUCUAGUAGAGUCUUGUUUAUCGGUGUGUUGUGCACCACAUCUAUAAACAGGAAGAUACAGGACAUUUAGGAUGUUACUUUUCUUUCAUAUCUAAGAUCGUGCGAUAGAGCCCAGCCAUAGGAAAUGAAAUCCCUUAUACUAACCUUUGAUUUCAGCUGAAGAACGACAUCGACAGAAGAAAGCGAUUGAUGAUAUUAGAAGCUAUACAGUACGCAGGUAAGCAAUGGUGCGAAAGAGGCGUGUCGGAUAAGGUAAGAAUACCGAAACAUGAUUGAAAUGUAAAGUUGGAGGAUGAAAGAGAAGGUAGAUAGAAAGGUAUAUCUGGACAGAUCGUUAAAGGAUCAAGUCGUCUCGAGGUGCGAUAUGUGAGGAAUAUGGUGGCUGUGACUAUUUCAAGUUUCUGUAGAAUACGGUUGACCUAAGAGCUUCAAUGUGUGAUUAAUGUACUUAUUUACUUUAAAGUGUUUAAUUUUCCGCAAAAUGUCAUUCAUUUGUAUCAUAAACUCAAGAAACAAAUUGGCGAAAAUUCCCCUU
This is a long non-coding RNA of Lycium barbarum (goji berry), 1428 nucleotides long. RefSeq lists it as uncharacterized. NCBI's taxonomy places the organism in Eukaryota, Viridiplantae, Streptophyta, Magnoliopsida, Solanales, Solanaceae. The record is from RefSeq and is a predicted model, not a curated record. The transcript is spliced from 4 exons.